Molecule: long non-coding RNA, 277 nt
Organism: Rhopalosiphum padi (bird cherry-oat aphid)
Lineage: Eukaryota; Metazoa; Arthropoda; Insecta; Hemiptera; Aphididae
Exons: 3
Source: RefSeq, a predicted model, not a curated record
AAAAUAUACGUUAUAUUGAAACGCGACGUGAGUUUUGUUUAUUACAGCUUGACACCUACACAAUUAGUGUAUAUAAUAUUACGUAAUAUACUUUAGAUAGGCAGAUGGAUUCAUGCAUUGAUUAAGUCUGUAUAAUACCACAGUGAACCAGGAAACGCGUUGUCAGAUCGAUUCCUAGUAUUCUUAGUAUCAAUGGCUGAUAAAAAUCAACCAUCGACCUCAGCGAAUGAUCAAGACCCAAAGCUUCCAUGGGCUGAAAAUAAAUUAAUGCAGAGGC